CGAUUUCCGAAUGGGGAAACCCAGUGUGUUUCGACACACUAUCAUUAACUGAAUCCAUAGGUUAAUGAGGCGAACCGGGGGAACUGAAACAUCUAAGUACCCCGAGGAAAAGAAAUCAACCGAGAUUCCCCCAGUAGCGGCGAGCGAACGGGGAGGAGCCCAGAGCCUGAAUCAGUGUGUGUGUUAGUGGAAGCGUCUGGAAAGGCGCGCGAUACAGGGUGACAGCCCCGUACACAAAAAUGCACAUAUUGUGAGCUCGAUGAGUAGGGCGGGACACGUGGUAUCCUGUCUGAAUAUGGGGGGACCAUCCUCCAAGGCUAAAUACUCCUGACUGACCGAUAGUGAACCAGUACCGUGAGGGAAAGGCGAAAAGAACCCCGGCGAGGGGAGUGAAAAAGAACCUGAAACCGUGUACGUACAAGCAGUGGGAGCCUCUUAAUGGGGUGACUGCGUACCUUUUGUAUAAUGGGUCAGCGACUUAUAUUCUGUAGCAAGGUUAACCGAAUAGGGGAGCCGAAGGGAAACCGAGUCUUAACUGGGCGUUAAGUUGCAGGGUAUAGACCCGAAACCCGGUGAUCUAGCCAUGGGCAGGUUGAAGGUUGGGUAACACUAACUGGAGGACCGAACCGACUAAUGUUGAAAAAUUAGCGGAUGACUUGUGGCUGGGGGUGAAAGGCCAAUCAAACCGGGAGAUAGCUGGUUCUCCCCGAAAGCUAUUUAGGUAGCGCCUCGUGAAUUCAUCUCCGGGGGUAGAGCACUGUUUCGGCAAGGGGGUCAUCCCGACUUACCAACCCGAUGCAAACUGCGAAUACCGGAGAAUGUUAUCACGGGAGACACACGGCGGGUGCUAACGUCCGUCGUGAAGAGGGAAACAACCCAGACCGCCAGCUAAGGUCCCAAAGUCAUGGUUAAGUGGGAAACGAUGUGGGAAGGCCCAGACAGCCAGGAUGUUGGCUUAGAAGCAGCCAUCAUUUAAAGAAAGCGUAAUAGCUCACUGGUCGAGUCGGCCUGCGCGGAAGAUGUAACGGGGCUAAACCAUG
RNAcentral lists this ribosomal RNA (1040 nucleotides) under Escherichia coli. Its description in RNAcentral is "partial 23S ribosomal RNA". It matches the Rfam family "Bacterial large subunit ribosomal RNA", at positions 108 to 1191 of the family's 2925-position model. The record is from RNAcentral. Lineage: Bacteria; Pseudomonadati; Pseudomonadota; Gammaproteobacteria; Enterobacterales; Enterobacteriaceae.